This 557-nucleotide ribosomal RNA is filed under the name uncultured bacterium. RNAcentral's name for it is "bacterial SSU rRNA". It matches the Rfam family "Bacterial small subunit ribosomal RNA", at positions 102 to 674 of the family's 1533-position model. The record is from RNAcentral.
ACGGGUGAGUAACGCGUGAGCAAUCUGCCCUUCGGAGGGGGACAACAGCUGGAAACGGCUGCUAAUACCGCAUAACGUAUUCGGGUGGCAUCACUUGGAUACCAAAGAUUUAUCGCCGAAGGAUGAGCUCGCGUCUGAUUAGCUAGUUGGUAGGGUAACGGCCUACCAAGGCUUCGAUCAGUAGCCGGACUGAGAGGUUGAACGGCCACAUUGGGACUGAGAUACGGCCCAGACUCCUACGGGAGGCAGCAGUGGGGAAUAUUGGGCAAUGGGCGAAAGCCUGACCCAGCAACGCCGCGUGAAGGAAGAAGGCCCUCGGGUUGUAAACUUCUUUGACCAGGGACGAAACAAAUGACGGUACCUGGAAAACAAGCCACGGCUAACUACGUGCCAGCAGCCGCGGUAAUACGUAGGUGGCAAGCGUUGUCCGGAUUUACUGGGUGUAAAGGGCGCGUAGGCGGGACUGCAAGUCAGAUGUGAAAUCUGGGGGCUUAACCCUCAAACUGCAUUUGAAACUGUGGUUCUUGAGUAUCGGAGAGGCAGGCGGAAUUCCAAGU